RNAcentral lists this ribosomal RNA (163 nucleotides) under uncultured bacterium. RNAcentral describes it as "partial 16S ribosomal RNA". It matches the Rfam family "Bacterial small subunit ribosomal RNA", at positions 355 to 510 of the family's 1533-position model. The record is from RNAcentral.
UAGGGAAUCUUCCACAAUGGACGAAAGUCUGAUGGAGCAACGCCGCGUGAGUGAAGAAGGGUUUCGGCUCGUAAAACUCUGUUGUUAAAGAAGAACAUAUCUGAGAGUAACUGUUCAGGUAUUGACGGUAUUUAACCAGAAAGCCACGGCUAACUACGUCACG